AGUGAGCGGCAAAGCUCAAUUUGAAUCUGGCUUUUCGGCGCCCGAGUUGUUUUUGAAGAUUGUUCCCUGGUGGUUGGCUCUUGUCGACCUUUGUUGAACCGGGCCUUCGCGGAGGGGAAAAACCCGGCGGGACGGGAGGCCCAAUCCUGCCCAAUUUGCUUCCCAAGAUGCAAGUGGUUAG
Molecule: ribosomal RNA, 181 nt
Filed under: uncultured Wickerhamomyces
Lineage: Eukaryota; Fungi; Ascomycota; Saccharomycetes; Phaffomycetales; Phaffomycetaceae
Description: partial 26S ribosomal RNA
Source: RNAcentral